AGAGUUUGAUCCUGGCUCAGGAUGAACGCUAGCUACAGGCUUAACACAUGCAAGUCGAGGGGCAGCAUGGUCUUAGCUUGCUAAGGCCGAUGGCGACCGGCGCACGGGUGAGUAACACGUAUCCAACCUGCCGUCUACUCUUGGACAGCCUUCUGAAAGGAAGAUUAAUACAAGAUGGCAUCAUGAGUCCGCAUGUUCACAUGAUUAAAGGUAUUCCGGUAGACGAUGGGGAUGCGUUCCAUUAGAUAGUAGGCGGGGUAACGGCCCACCUAGUCUUCGAUGGAUAGGGGUUCUGAGAGGAAGGUCCCCCACAUUGGAACUGAGACACGGUCCAAACUCCUACGGGAGGCAGCAGUGAGGAAUAUUGGUCAAUGGGCGAGAGCCUGAACCAGCCAAGUAGCGUGAAGGAUGACUGCCCUAUGGGUUGUAAACUUCUUUUAUAAAGGAAUAAAGUCGGGUAUGCAUACCCGUUUGCAUGUACUUUAUGAAUAAGGAUCGGCUAACUCCGUGCCAGCAGCCGCGGUAAUACGGAGGAUCCGAGCGUUAUCCGGAUUUAUUGGGUUUAAAGGGAGCGUAGAUGGAUGUUUAAGUCAGUUGUGAAAGUUUGCGGCUCAACCGUAAAAUUGCAGUUGAUACUGGAUAUCUUGAGUGCAGUUGAGGCAGGCGGAAUUCGUGGUGUAGCGGUGAAAUGCUUAGAUAUCACGAAGAACUCCGAUUGCGAAGGCAGCCUGCUAAGCUGCAACUGACAUUGAGGCUCGAAAGUGUGGGUAUCAAACAGGAUUAGAUACCCUGGUAGUCCACACGGUAAACGAUGAAUACUCGCUGUUUGCGAUAUACAGCAAGCGGCCAAGCGAAAGCGUUAAGUAUUCCACCUGGGGAGUACGCCGGCAACGGUGAAACUCAAAGGAAUUGACGGGGGCCCGCACAAGCGGAGGAACAUGUGGUUUAAUUCGAUGAUACGCGAGGAACCUUACCCGGGCUUAAAUUGCAGAUGAAUUACGGUGAAAGCCGUAAGCCGCAAGGCAUCUGUGAAGGUGCUGCAUGGUUGUCGUCAGCUCGUGCCGUGAGGUGUCGGCUUAAGUGCCAUAACGAGCGCAACCCUUGUUGUCAGUUACUAACAGGUUCCGCUGAGGACUCUGACAAGACUGCCAUCGUAAGAUGUGAGGAAGGUGGGGAUGACGUCAAAUCAGCACGGCCCUUACGUCCGGGGCUACACACGUGUUACAAUGGGGGGUACAGAGGGCCGCUACCACGCGAGUGGAUGCCAAUCCCCAAAACCUCUCUCAGUUCGGACUGGAGUCUGCAACCCGACUCCACGAAGCUGGAUUCGCUAGUAAUCGCGCAUCAGCCACGGCGCGGUGAAUACGUUCCCGGGCCUUGUACACACCGCCCGUCAAGCCAUGGGAGCCGGGGGUACCUGAAGUGCGUAACCGCGAGGAGCGCCCUAGGGUAAAACUGGUGACUGGGGCUAAGUCGUAACAAGGUAGCCGUACCGGAAGGUGCGGCUG
RNAcentral lists this ribosomal RNA (1508 nucleotides) under Phocaeicola vulgatus. RNAcentral describes it as "bacterial SSU rRNA". It matches the Rfam family "Bacterial small subunit ribosomal RNA". The record is from RNAcentral. Lineage: Bacteria; Pseudomonadati; Bacteroidota; Bacteroidia; Bacteroidales; Bacteroidaceae. RNAcentral also lists the same sequence under 1 other name.